This 483-nucleotide ribosomal RNA is filed under the name uncultured bacterium. Its description in RNAcentral is "partial 16S ribosomal RNA". It matches the Rfam family "Bacterial small subunit ribosomal RNA", at positions 30 to 507 of the family's 1533-position model. The record is from RNAcentral.
AUUGAACGCUGGCGGCAGGCCUAACACAUGCGAGUCGAGCGGAUGAAGGGAGCUUGCUCCUGGAUUCAGCGGCGGACGGGUGAGUAAUGCCUAGGAAUCUGCCUGGUAGUGGGGGAUAACGUCCGGAAACGGGCGCUAAUACCGCAUACGUCCUGAGGGAGAAAGUGGGGGAUCUUCGGACCUCACGCUAUCAGAUGAGCCUAGGUCGGAUUAGCUAGUUGGUGGGGUAAGGCCUACCAAGGCGACGAUCCGUAACUGGUCUGAGAGGAUGAUCAGUCACACUGGAACUGAGACACGGUCCAGACUCCUACGGGAGGCAGCAGUGGGGAAUAUUGGACAAUGGGCGAAAGCCUGAUCCAGCCAUGCCGCGUGUGUGAAGAAGGUCUUCGGAUUGUAAAGCACUUUAAGUUGGGAGGAAGGGCAGUAAGUUAAUACCUUGCUGUUUUGACGUUACCAACAGAAUAAGCACCGGCUAACUUCGUG